AAGACCUUGUGCUUUUGGAGCGGCCGAUGCCUGAUUAGCUUGUUGGUAAGGUAAAAGCUUACCAAGGCUUCGAUCAGUAGCUGGUCUGAGAGGACGACCAGCCACACUGGGACUGAGACACGGCCCAGACUCCUACGGGAGGCAGCAGUGGGGAAUUUUGGACAAUGGGGGCAACCCUGAUCCAGCCAUGCCGCGUGAGUGAAGAAGGCCUUCGGGUUGUAAAGCUCUUUCAGCCGGAACGAAACGGUUACGGUUAAUACCCGUGACUACUGACGGUACCGGAAGAAGAAGCACCGGCUAACUACGUGCCAGCAGCCGCGGUAAUACGUAGGGUGCGAGCGUUAAUCGGAAUUACUGGGCGUAAAGGGUGCGCAGGCGGUUUUGUAAGUCAGAUGUGAAAUCCCCGGGCUUAACCUGGGAACU
Molecule: ribosomal RNA, 423 nt
Filed under: uncultured bacterium
Lineage: Bacteria
Description: bacterial SSU rRNA
Rfam family: Bacterial small subunit ribosomal RNA
Source: RNAcentral